CCGUGCGCCCUUUUCCCUGCAUCAGUCGCAUCAGCCUUACUGCAGCCCAGUGGCAAGUUCAGCCACGCCCUCAGUCAGCAUUCGGGGACCACACGGACUCUCCAAAGACUUAGGGGACCCCACGGGCACAAGAAGAGUGAGUCAAUUUUCUACCAAUUGCCAAGGCUCCUGACUCAGCGCCGGGAAUGUUGA
This 192-nucleotide long non-coding RNA is filed under the name Cricetulus griseus (Chinese hamster). Its description in RNAcentral is "lncRNA (ENSCGRG00000025229.1)". Lineage: Eukaryota; Metazoa; Chordata; Mammalia; Rodentia; Cricetidae. The record is from RNAcentral.